GCAGGGGUAGUAGAGGUGACAGGGGUGACAGGUAGCAGGGGUAGUAGAGGUGACAGGUAGCAGGGGUAAUAGAGGUGACAGGUGUGACAGGCCGCUCGGCGCUCACCCCCGGUCCGGCCCCCGCCGGGUGCUGCUGGCUCAGGAUGGCCCGGCACCC
This is a long non-coding RNA of Bufo bufo (common toad), 157 nucleotides long. RefSeq lists it as uncharacterized. NCBI's taxonomy places the organism in Eukaryota, Metazoa, Chordata, Amphibia, Anura, Bufonidae. The record is from RefSeq and is a predicted model, not a curated record. The transcript is spliced from 3 exons.